CAGAGGAGCCAAGCGUUGUCCGGAUUGACUGGGCGUAAAGCGCACGCAGGCGGGUGCGCGCGUGGGGUGUGAAAUCUGGCCGCUUAACGGCCAGGCGCCAUCCCAUACGGCGCACCUGGAGCGGUGCAGAGGGCGGUGGAAUUGCCGGUGUAGUGUGAAAUGCGUAGAGAUCGGCAGGAACACCCAGGGGGAAACCAGCCGCCUGGGCACGCGCUGACGCUGAGGUGCGAGAGCGUGGGGAGCGAACCGGAUUAGAUACCCGGGUAGUCCACGCUGUAAACGAUGGCCACUCGGCCUUUGGGAACGGAACCUCCGUUCCUGGGGGCCUGAGCUAACGCACUAAGUGGCCCGCCUGGGAACUACGAGCGCAAGCUUA
RNAcentral lists this ribosomal RNA (376 nucleotides) under uncultured organism. Its description in RNAcentral is "bacterial SSU rRNA". It matches the Rfam family "Bacterial small subunit ribosomal RNA", at positions 526 to 896 of the family's 1533-position model. The record is from RNAcentral.